CAAUUUCAAAUAUUGAUUUACGGGGUUCUGACCACUCCUUGAGAAUAAAGUGCCCCCCCAGGACCUUUGACACCUGGGGGUCUGAGGGGUCC
Small nucleolar RNA from Ictidomys tridecemlineatus (thirteen-lined ground squirrel), 92 nucleotides. The record is from Ensembl. Lineage: Eukaryota; Metazoa; Chordata; Mammalia; Rodentia; Sciuridae.